CAAUGAGGGGAGAUAAAGUGACCAUCUCCAUUUCACCUGGAAUUGGGAAGCAUCACCAUCUUUUCUUACUUAUUUAAACAGUUAUUUUUGAGCAAGCAAGCAAACAUCCAUCCAGCCAUCUAUUUGCCCCUUUAGAGUGGAGAACUUGAGGUUGGUACCAAGAUGAGAAAUUUCUCAAUCCAUAGUUUAAAGAAAAAAAAAAAAUUGCAAAUAGCACUUUACAAAAUGUCAAA
RNAcentral lists this unclassified non-coding RNA (233 nucleotides) under Hevea brasiliensis (rubber tree). The record is from RNAcentral. Lineage: Eukaryota; Viridiplantae; Streptophyta; Magnoliopsida; Malpighiales; Euphorbiaceae.